UUAAAGUCGAUGAUCAAAAGAGUACUUUCGGAAGGUACAUCACAGAGAGCUGGCGGUGGUGGAAUGUCAGCAUGGAGAGCCGUAAGGAAUGGGUUUGUGAGAUGCGUAGAUGAAUUAGCAGUAGUUUACGACGUGGCCUCGCGUUACAGGGGAAGGAUAUAUUAAUUGUAUCUGAUAAUGAGUUGAGCAUACAGGUGGCAUAUCCGGUAAGGAGUGCCACCUUUUUUAUUAAUAUUACAAGUAUGUUCAUAAAUAAGGGUGGCACCACGGUAAUUCGUCCCUGAC
RNAcentral lists this non-coding RNA (285 nucleotides) under Lachnospira eligens. RNAcentral describes it as "Eubacterium eligens T-box sequence". It matches the Rfam family "T-box leader". Rfam says of the family: Uncharged tRNA acts as the effector for transcription antitermination of genes in the T-box leader family. T-boxes are found upstream of many aminoacyl-tRNA synthetase genes and some amino acid biosynthetic genes usually in Gram-positive bacteria. The record is from RNAcentral. Lineage: Bacteria; Bacillati; Bacillota; Clostridia; Lachnospirales; Lachnospiraceae.